This 433-nucleotide ribosomal RNA is filed under the name uncultured bacterium. RNAcentral's name for it is "bacterial SSU rRNA". It matches the Rfam family "Bacterial small subunit ribosomal RNA", at positions 29 to 507 of the family's 1533-position model. The record is from RNAcentral.
AGCGAACGCUGGCGGCAGGCCUAACACAUGCAAGUCGAACGGAUCCUUCGGGAUUAGUGGCGGACGGGUGAGUAACACGUGGGAACGUGCCCUUUGGUUCGGAACAACUCAGGGAAACUUGAGCUAAUACCGGAUGUGCCCUUCGGGGAAAGAUUUAUCGCCAUUGGAGCGGCCCGCGUCUGAUUAGCUAGUUGGUGGGGUAAAGGCCCACCAAGGCGACGAUCAGUAGCUGGUCUGAGAGGAUGAUCAGCCACAUUGGGACUGAGACACGGCCCAAACUCCUACGGGAGGCAGCAGUGGGGAAUCUUGCGCAAUGGGCGAAAGCCUGACGCAGCCAUGCCGCGUGAAUGAUGAAGGUCUUAGGAUUGUAAAAAUUCUUUCACCGGGGACGAUAAUGACGGUACCCGGAGAAGAAGCCCCGGCUAACUUCGUG